RNAcentral lists this ribosomal RNA (404 nucleotides) under uncultured bacterium. RNAcentral's name for it is "bacterial SSU rRNA". It matches the Rfam family "Bacterial small subunit ribosomal RNA", at positions 355 to 776 of the family's 1533-position model. The record is from RNAcentral.
UGGGGAAUAUUGGACAAUGGGCGAAAGCCUGAUCCAGCCAUGCCGCGUGAGUGAUGAAGGCCUUAGGGUUGUAAAGCUCUUUUACCCGGGAAGAUAAUGACGGUACCGGGAGAAUAAGCCCCGGCUAACUUCGUGCCAGCAGCCGCGGUAAUACGAAGGGGGCUAGCGUUGUUCGGAUUUACUGGGCGUAAAGCGCACGUAGGCGGAUCUUUAAGUCAGAGGUGAAAUCCCAGGGCUCAACCCUGGAACUGCCUUUGAUACUGGGGAUCUCGAGUCCGGGAGAGGUGAGUGGAACUGCGAGUGUAGAGGUGAAAUUCGUAGAUAUUCGCAAGAACACCAGUGGCGAAGGCGGCUCACUGGCCCGGAACUGACGCUGAGGUGCGAAAGCGUGGGGAGCAAACAGG